Molecule: ribosomal RNA, 253 nt
Filed under: uncultured bacterium
Lineage: Bacteria
Description: partial 16S ribosomal RNA
Rfam family: Bacterial small subunit ribosomal RNA
Source: RNAcentral
UACGUAGGCAGCGAGCGUUGUUCGGAUUCACUGGGCGUAAGGGGUGCGUAGGUGGUCGGGUAAGUCUGAUGUGAAAUCUCUGGGCUCAACCCAGAAAUGGCAUUGGAUACUAUUCGGCUAGAGGAGUGGAGGGGGGACUGGAAUACUUGGUGUAGCAGUGAAAUGCGUAGAUAUCAAGUGGAACACCAGUGGCGAAGGCGAGUCCCUGGACACUUCCUGACACUGAGGCACGAAAGCUAGGGGAGCAAACAGG